GACGAGGAAGCUCUGCGGAGGAGCGCCCGGCUCUGAUCCCGGGUGGACGCAGGUUCGAAUCCUGCCCUCGUCGCCU
RNAcentral lists this transfer RNA (76 nucleotides) under Streptomyces globisporus. RNAcentral describes it as "tRNA-Gln". It matches the Rfam family "tRNA". Rfam says of the family: Transfer RNA (tRNA) molecules are approximately 80 nucleotides in length. Lineage: Bacteria; Bacillati; Actinomycetota; Actinomycetes; Kitasatosporales; Streptomycetaceae. RNAcentral also lists the same sequence under 5 other names. The record is from RNAcentral.